GGUUCUGGGCCUCCAAGGCCGUGGGUAAGUAGUUGAGGAGGCAGCUCUCUCCAGUCUGCGUUUAGAGUCUGCAGCUAAAAUGGAGUCUGCAUCUACACAGGGAGCCAGCUGAGCAACCAGCACUGUGGGAGAGCCAGGGAGACAGAGACGUAUCCAAGGGCUCCACAAAGACUCUAUACCACCCAUCCACUUCCAUUAAGAAGCAAAUGUCCCAUACCACCAACAAAUGAUUUCAUAAUACAAACCCCUGACCUAAACAAUACAAGCAAUGCGUCACUAUUUCUUGAAUCCUAGAAGGUGUAAUCAUCUCAGACGCUUUCUUGCACUGUAGAAGGUAAAGCAGGAUGUGAUGCAACAGUGACAUCGUCCAGGAUGCCACCACUCAGUGGGGGGAGAGAGCGCACCACAGGAGAU
Herpailurus yagouaroundi (jaguarundi) is the source of this 414-nucleotide long non-coding RNA. RefSeq lists it as uncharacterized. The transcript is spliced from 2 exons. The record is from RefSeq and is a predicted model, not a curated record. Lineage: Eukaryota; Metazoa; Chordata; Mammalia; Carnivora; Felidae.